UAUUGGGCGUAAGGGCUCGUAGGUGGUUGAUCGCGUCGGAAGUGUAAUCUUGGGGCUUAACCCUGAGCGUGCUUUCGAUACGGGUUGACUUGAGGAAGGUAGGGGAGAAUGGAAUUCCUGGUGGAGCGGUGGAAUGCGCAGAUAUCAGGAGGAACACCAGUGGCGAAGGCGGUUCUCUGGGCCUUUCCUGACGCUGAGGAGCGAAAGCGUGGGGAGCGAACAGGCUUAGAUACCCUGGUAGUCCACGCUGUAAACGGUGGGUACUAGGUGUGGGGUCCAUUCCACGGGUUCCGUGCCGUAGCUAACGCUUUAAGUACCCCGCCUGGGGAGUACGGCCGCAAGGCUAAAACUCAAAGGAAUUGACGGGGCCCCGCACAAGCGGCGGAGCAUGCGGAUUAAUUCGAUGCAACGCGUAGAACCUUACCUGGGUUUGACAUGGAUCGGGAGUGCUCAGAGAUGGGUGUGCCUCUUUUGGGGUCGGUUCACAGGUGGUGCAUGGCUGUCGUCAGCUCGUGUCGUGAGAUGUUGGGUUAAGUCCCGCAACGAGCGCAACCCUUGUUCACUGUUGCCAGCACGUUAUGGUGGGGACUCAGUGGAGACCGCCGGGGUCAACUCGGAGGAAGGUGGGGAUGACGUCAAGUCAUCAUGCCCCUUAUGUCCAGGGCUUCACGCAUGCUACAAUGGCUGGUACAGAGAGUGGCGAGCCUGUGAGGGUGAGCGAAUCUCGGAAAGCCGGUCUCAGUUCGGAUUGGGGUCUGCAACUCGACCUCAUGAAGUCGGAGUCGCUAGUAAUCGCAGAUCAGCAACGCUGCGGUGAAUACGUUCCCGGGGCUUGUACACACCGCCCGUCAAGUCAUGAAAGUUGGUAACACCCGAAGC
RNAcentral lists this ribosomal RNA (879 nucleotides) under uncultured Propionibacterium sp. RNAcentral's name for it is "SSU rRNA". It matches the Rfam family "Bacterial small subunit ribosomal RNA", at positions 552 to 1427 of the family's 1533-position model. The record is from RNAcentral. Lineage: Bacteria; Bacillati; Actinomycetota; Actinomycetes; Propionibacteriales; Propionibacteriaceae.